AAUUUGAAAUCUGGCGUUCACCGUCCGAGUUGUAAUUUGGAGGGGUAUCUUCGGGGACGACACCGUUCUAUGUUCCUUUGAACAGGACAUCACAGAGGGUGAGAAUCCCGUGCUUGGGCGGUUUGUCGCGACCAUGUGAAGUGCCUCCGACGAGUCGAGUUGUUUGGGAAUGCAGCUCAAAAUGGGUGGUAAAUUUCAUCUAAAGCUAAAUAUUGGCGAGAGACCGAUAGCGCACAAGUAGAGUGAUCGAAAGAUGAAAAGAACUUUGAAAAGAGGGUCAAACAGUACGUGAAAUUGUUGAAAGGGAAGCGCUUGAGAUCGAACUCAGCCGGUGGCACACAGCCGAGCUUCUGCUCGGUGCACUGGUCAUCGGCUGGGCCAGCAUCGGUUCCGACGGCGGGAUAAAGGGUCGGGAAACGUGGCUCGCCUCGCGCGAGUGUUAUAGUCCCGCGCCGUAAUACCGCCAGUCCGGGACCGAGGACCGCGCUUCGGCUAGGAUGCUGGCGUAACGGUCUUAAGCGACCCGUCUUG
Molecule: ribosomal RNA, 531 nt
Filed under: Octospora itzerottii
Lineage: Eukaryota; Fungi; Ascomycota; Pezizomycetes; Pezizales; Pyronemataceae
Description: partial large subunit ribosomal RNA
Rfam family: Eukaryotic large subunit ribosomal RNA
Source: RNAcentral